RNAcentral lists this long non-coding RNA (1702 nucleotides) under Gallus gallus (chicken). The record is from RNAcentral. Lineage: Eukaryota; Metazoa; Chordata; Aves; Galliformes; Phasianidae.
AAAAGAUGGAGGAAUUCCCAGCAGAAUGCCACAUCAUCCAAAUGUGAAACUUCUGUGCCUCUGUCAAACAUCUGGAAAUGCUUCUGACUUGUACUCAAAAUAAGAACAUACAUGAAGACUGUUUGAAAUGGAAGGCUGUUCAGGAUCUCAGGAUAAUCAUUCUAACAGUCUCCAAAGUUUGCAGGGAAAUGAGUACCAUAAUUGAACUGUGAGGCAUUUCAUAACUGUCAAUGUUUAAAUGUGGAUCAAUAUCUAUACAGCCAAGGAAUAUAAAAUCUAAGUUGGCUAUCAUCUCUGUGAGAUGAUAUUUUGUACAAAUGUCCUUCACAGUAAAUUUGGAGGUACAAAGAAUAAUGCAAAGACCACCCUUCCCAGGGAGACAAAGGAAAUGUUUACCAUCCAAAGACACGUAGGUUCAGAAAACUCUUCCGAUGACAUUUGGCUUUAAGUGAGUGGUUUGUUGCCCUGAUCCCACUGCUAUUCUGAAUUAAAAACAAACAAAAACAAGAGAGCCCAUUUUGGCUCUAUGAACACAAAAAUGACAGAUCUCAGUUUGAACACAGCAAAAACUUGCCUGCUUCACCAAAUCCAAAAAUACUGGCUAAAGAUCAUACAUCCUCAAACAUCGCAGGUAACAAAUUCAAAACAAGAUAUGCAUUAGCACCAAAAAUGUCCAGCGUUACAGUUUUGGAGGUUGGAUUUGGUACUGGGCAUGCUGAGAUGACACUCAGUGAUCUGUAGCUGUCAGGAAGCAGGAAGAGUACAGCAUUCAGCUUCAGCUAGGAAGCAGGAGGACAAAGAUACCCGAACAUACUUCAUUUCAGCCUAAACCAAGGUUUGCACUGGUUAGAAUUGUAUGGGUAUACAAAAAAUGUUAGCAGAAGUUAUUACCAUGCUUUUAGAGUCAGAACCUCUCCUUACAAGUCCUUCCCCCUCUAAGUAAAAGACAGAUGGGAAUCCUUCACUUUCUGCCACUUUUUGCACUCUUAUUCUGCAGGAGUACACCCACAAAUAAUGCAGAAUUCUCUUCAGUGAGUGAAUUCCUUCAACAGAAAACACACUCACCGGGGUCAAUCCUAGCAAAGGAAAGGCUCAUGUCCUCUCAUGCUCUGCCUUUGCAUCCUCUUCUUCCUGUCUAACUGGGGAAAAAAAAAAAACAUUCCUACCUUGCAAAACAUCUGGACAAAAUUUUCACUUCCGCUUCCUACUUAAUCAGAUUCAUAAACUUAACAGACAAUCAGGUGAAAGUGGUAAUGGCCACCGAUGUUUUUAUAUGACCCCAUUCUGAUCUACACUGUCCCCAAAUAAAUUUGAUCCCCUAUGCGCUUUCCACAUGACGUGUCUGAGUGUGAUCUGUAAACUCUGAAGUUCUCAGGAAGGGCUCAUCCAAAGCAGCACUCAGAGGAAAGUACAUUUUGGAGGGCAGUCCAUCUUGCUCCAAAAGACGAUAUCCUCUGGCAGUAGUUUAGUAACUCAUGUCAGAUACUGCACGACGAGAAACAUAAUUACACAAGUCACAAUCAUGCCCCCAAUCAUGAAGUAUUUGUCUUGAAAGGCUCGCUUCUCAAUCAGCCGCAUUACUGUAUUGGAUAAGCCCAACGUGUUGGCAACAUCCAGGAUCUUCUUCUGAGUUCCCUUUAAUGUCACUCUCUGGUCCCUCAGCCCCUGAAGAAUGUUGGUCCCACUGCCAAUAAGAUCAUCC